Molecule: long non-coding RNA, 669 nt
Organism: Oncorhynchus keta (chum salmon)
Lineage: Eukaryota; Metazoa; Chordata; Actinopteri; Salmoniformes; Salmonidae
Exons: 4
Source: RefSeq, a predicted model, not a curated record
GGGAGGAGAGACACCAGAUAAUCAACACUAAAUGAUCCUGAAUCAUGAUGACCAAUUGCAAAAGCAACCAUGUACACUUAAGAGGACAGAAGCAUACGAAAUACAGAAGCAUACGCUUUGGAAGAUUCUUACAGAGUGAAGCUGUGUGUUUACCUGGCUGGGUGUUCCCAGGUGCUGUGUGUUUACCUGGCUGGGUGUUCCCAGGUGCUGUGUGUUUACCUGGCUGGGUGUUCCCAGGUGCUGUGUGUUUACCUGGCUGGGUGUUCCCAGGUGCUGUGUGUUUACCUGGCUGGGUGUUCCCAGGUGCUGUGUGUUUACCUGGCUGGGUGUUCCCAGGUGCUGUGUGUUUACCUGGCUGGGUGUUCCCAGGUGCUGUGUGUUUACCUGGCUGGGUGUUCCCAGGUGCUGUGUGUUUACCUGGCUGGGUGUUCUCAGGUGCUGUGUGUUUACCUGGCUGGGUGUUCUCAGGUGCUGUGUGUUUACCUGGCUGGGUGUUCUCAGGUGCUGUGUGUUUACCUGGCUGGGUGUUCCCAGGUACUAUGUGUUUACCUGGCUGGGUGUUCUCAGGUACUAUGUGUUUACCUGGCUGGGUGUUCUCAGGUACUAUGUGUUUACCUGGCUGGGUGUUCCCAGGUACUAUGUGUUUACCUGGCGCUGUGUGUUUACCUG